AUUUCUGGUUUCUCCCAUGGCGCGUACCCAAAAUAAUCUGUAAAAGUGAGGAAAGACUGGACUCAGGCAAUGUUCAUGUUUUCCAAGUGGGGAGGAGGACAGAUUCCAGAAACAAUAGACCCCUGGCAAGCAAUAAAAAUCCUACCAGAGCAUUAAGCAGGUGGUCUGCCAUUUAGAAUGAGAAGCAGUGAUCUUCAGGAGGCAGCACGGGUCACUAAGAACAAGUCAUGACACCGGGACUUUACUUCUCGUGGUGACUGAACUGACAGAGGGCAGGGAUCCAAGGAUGUAGAAGACCUGCCAUUAGCACAAUUUCUGACACUUUCUCAUGAUAAUGGGCAAAGUAGAAAGACGGGCUGGAUGUUAGAAGAGCUAAAUUUGUAGCCCGUUGGACUUGCCCAGAGUGUUGAUUGCUGUGUCCACGUCCAGUUGGGUAACAGAGGAAAGUUCUCCAGUUGGCUUCUGAGCUUCAUCUUUGACUUAGUCUUGAUCGAUUUUCUAUUAAUACUUGAGAACAGACACAGAAGCAGUAGUGAGUCGAAGCUACCUUGGAAGAGCCGGUCGCUAAGUUUUCAGAACACUUACGAGAUGCUGACAUCGUGUUGUUAGCUUGUAAUUGUUCACGGGGGUAUUUCGACUACAGACAUUAGUAAGCACUAUAAAUCAGGGCCUUUCCUUUCUCUUCCCCGCAAGAACGGGUUGUUAAACAUGGACUACCAAACUACUGAAUGGAAAAUAGGUGCAUUACUUAGGAAUUUUGACUAAAAAUAAGAUUGGUUUAAGCAAACAAGCAAAAAAAAAAAAAAAAAAAAAAAAAACAAAACCCAGCAAUUUCAAGAGGAACUGUCAAGUCCACAUUAGAUCUGGCUUCAGGCACAGUUGGAAGCUGGACUCCUGAAGUCACAAGACUCAGUCUCUCUCCCUCUAUUGCAGUCCUGCUCUUCUGCUUCCCACCAUGUUGGCUUCAUCCAGUAGUAAAGCAAGGCUCUUCUGUCAGGAUGGCAACCCCAGUGGAAAGAGAAGCCCUCUUCCAAUCACUUCGAAAAAUUUGAAACCAAACCUAUCCACUGCCCAUUUCACGGAAAUUGAAGGGGAGGGGCAAUCCACUCGCCGCUCUUUCAGGACCACGAGGACAAUGCGUUCUUUUCCCAGUCCCACCAGUCAGAGGCUAACAGCAGCAGUAUUCAUCCCAAACACAACAUCUAUUCAAACCCCUUGGGAUACCCAGAGAUGUUGCCCUGGGCCCC
This 1247-nucleotide long non-coding RNA is filed under the name Ursus maritimus (polar bear). RNAcentral's name for it is "lncRNA (ENSUMAG00000018687.1)". The record is from RNAcentral. Lineage: Eukaryota; Metazoa; Chordata; Mammalia; Carnivora; Ursidae.